Oryctolagus cuniculus (rabbit) is the source of this 5586-nucleotide non-coding RNA. The record is from RefSeq and is a predicted model, not a curated record. NCBI's taxonomy places the organism in Eukaryota, Metazoa, Chordata, Mammalia, Lagomorpha, Leporidae.
GUCCUCUGAGAGGAAGACAGGAGGCAAAACAGAAGGUCUCCAGCUGGACUUCAUACUUUAUAAGAGGGCGAUUCUUUACAGCCUCCAGCCCAUUCUUUCUCUUAAAAUGAAUCUCAGACCAUCAGAUGACUUCACAUACUUCACCUUGUUUUUGCUACCACUUGCUCGGUCGCACCCAGGCUCUAUUUUCAUUUUCCAUCACUUUUUAAAAAAAUAUUAUUUCACAGGAUGAUUGCUUUUAUUUAUUAUUCUCAUUUUAUUUCAUCUUAUUUUAUUUGAAAGAGAGAGAGAGAAGGCAUGCGCUUCCAUCUCCUGGUUCACUCCCCAGAUAUCCACAUUACUUGGGGAUGGGUCAGGCCAAAGUCAGAUCUGCCACAUGGCUGUCACCUGCUGCCCAUCAUAGUGUGCAUUAGCAAGAAUGAUGGAAUCUGAAGCAAAGCCAGGACUCAAACCAGGCAUCCCACGUGAAGUAUUAACCUCUGCACCAAAUUUCUGCCCCUCUCUAAGACUAUAUUGUGGAUAGAUCACUUUAAUAUUUCCACUGUCAAGGCCAGCGCUGUGGUGUAGUGGGCUAAGUCUCUGUAGUGCCAGCAUCCCAUAUGGGCACUAGUUCGAGUCCUGGCUGCUCCACUCCUGAUCCAGCCCCCGUUGCAGCCAUUUGGGGAGUUGUCGCUCCCCCUCUUCAUGGAGGAAUGACACUAAACCCUGCCUAGGCUUCAUAUCUGAGUCACGGCACCAUUAUGUCGCUCCCCGUCUUCGUGGAGGAACGACACAGGACCCUGCGCUGUUCUUUCAUCUGCUCGGCCCUCCCCGGGUUUGCUGCUGGUUCUUCCCGGGUUGGCUACUGUCCCUUCCACCUCCGUGGAAGGGCAGUUCCCCCUGGCCACAUUCCCCACUUCCGCAGGGGAGCGGCACACCGCCGGCCGGCUCUCUCGGGGGCAGCACAGGUGUUCCCCUUAGAUGUUCCUGGUGAAUGCCGUCUCUCUCCUCCUUUAUAGUCCUCCUCCGCCAAUCCUAACUCGGCUGCCCACACGCCGAGUACGCUGCUCUCCUCCAAUCAGGAGUAGGUCCUACAGUUUAUUGGUUGAACUGGAGGCAGCUGCGUAGAAGCUGUUUUCUCCUCUCCCAGCGCCAUAUUGUGGGAGAGCAGAUGCAUAGAAUAAGUCUUAAUUCCAGUAACUCAGUCCAGUCCGGGCUGCUCCCCACAGGGAGUGAACCAGCAGGUGGAAGACUUCUUGCUGCCUCUACCUCCCUCUUUCUGUAACUCCAUCCUUCAAAUAAAUAAAUAAAUCUUAAAAAAAAAAAUACUUCUGUCUUAAAUCCUGGCACUUAGAAAAAUAAACAGAAUUACUCCAACACCUGUCCUACAAUAAUCUUGUCAGCCAUAGAGAGACCUGAUUAUGACCCACAACUUCUUCAUAAUCUCUGAGUCCUACUCUCUGACCAUCACUUCCCUUUGUCUGGCUCACCUACCAAGGCCAAUGAUGUUCGGCUAUGAAAGCCUCACACUCAGAAACAAAUAUGUCACCUUUGUCACUGCUCUUCAUAUUUUUUUUUAAAGAUUCAUUCAUUUAUUUGAAAGGCAGAGUUACAGAGAGAGAGAAAAAGAGGUCUUCCAUUUGCAGGUUCACUCCCCAAUUGGCUGCAAUGGUUGGUCCUGUACCUCUUCAGAGCCAGGAGCUUCUUCUGGGUCUCCCACAUAGGUUCAGGGGCCCAAGGACUUGGACCAUCUUCUACUGCUUUCCCAGGCCACAGCAGAGAGCUAGAUGGGAAGUGGAACAGCCGAGUCUCGAACUGGCAUCCAUAUGGGAUGCUGGCACUGCAGGCAGGAGCUUUACUUGCUACGCCACAGCACUGAUCCCUUUCUCUCUUGAUCCCAGUUAAAUUCCAUGGUCCUGUUAUGAUUAUUCCCCUGCCUCACUCCCAACUCCUUUAUGCCCCCUUACUUCGUUGUAUUCCCUUGAGAGAACUGUAAUCUUGGUUUAAUCCAACUCGCCUGGAGAAAAUCAACAUCACAGUCACAAAUGACCAAUCAUGCUUUGAGUGUAUGAACACAAACCUUGUUUACAUCCUUAAUGCUGCCUGGCAAUCAUAGCAUUUUUCUCUGGGCCAUGCCGUUCUCCUCUUAAUCCAUGCCUUUUCCUAUGGAGCCUUUAAUACUUCUUUAUCUGUCAUCUCUUGGCUGUUGACCUUGCUUCUCACUUCACUGAGAAAAUAAAAGCGGCCAGAAAAGAAGCCCCCUAGGCACCCACUGCCACCUCUAGCUGACUUCCAACACCUGUCCCCACCCAUGUGUUCUUCCUUUCCAUUUGUUACAAGGGUGUGGAGACAUCAUUGGCUAAAGCCAGUCUCUCUCCACUUGUGUAUUAGAUCUUGUUCCCUCUUACCCAUUCAUGGACAUUGCUGCGGCAAUUCUACAUGCUGUCUUCAAAAAUUAUCACUUUUGGGACCAGCAGUGUGGAAUAGCAGUUUAAGUUGCCACUUGGAAUGCCAGCAUUUCAUAUCAGAUCAUAUUGGAGUGACAGUUUGAGUCCUGGCUACCCUGCUUCUGAUCCAGCUUCCUACUAAUGUGCCUGGGAAGGCAACAGAAGAUGGCCCAAGUGCUUGGGUCCUUACUAACCAUUUGGAAGACCUGGGUGGACUUCCUAGCUCUUGGCUUUAGGCUGGCCCAUUCCUGGUGGUUGUAGCCAUCUGGAGAAUGAACCAGCAAAUGGACGAUCUCUGUCUCUUCCUCUCUCUGUCACUCUGCUUUCAAAAAAAUAAGGUUUGAAAAAAAAAAUCAUCUUUUGACUAACCAUUGAAUUUUACCCCUCAGCAUGCUGUUAUUCUUUUUUUUCUAACCUUUACCUCUGGUGUCAAUGACUGCCCUUCCCAGCAAAACUUGGAAGGUUGUCCAUACUCGCUGUCUCUAGUGUCUUUCUCCCAGUCUCUCUCCUACUCACUCCCGUGAGUUUCUCCCAUACAACCCCACAAGAUAACUGUUAAGUUGUUAAAUCCACAUAUUUAUCUGUACAUUACAUGAUUGAUUUAUCUGCCUUCCUUGAUAGAGGAGCAUACUUCAAAAAUGGAACACGUGUAUUAUGAAAAAACUACAUUUGGAAAGUUUUUUCACACCAGAACAAACUUAGCUUUUAAUACCAUUUCCCAUGAACUUUUUAAGUACACGUGCCUGUUUCGCACUGGAUUUUCACUUUGGGUUGUCUUUCUACCUCAUUAGGUACUUCUCAGAAUUUACUGGUUCCUCCUCCUUUUUCUGAUUUCUUAACACUGGGGGGCCCCAAAGCUCAAUUCUUAGCUCUUUUCUUAGUGAUCUCAUCUAGCUUAGUGACAGUAAGUGCUGUUUGUUGGUAACUCCUGAAUUUCUUCUUUAGCUCACAUGUCUCUCGUGAAUUCCAUGUUGUUUCCACUAACCUGCCAUCUCCCUAGGAAUUCCAAUAGAUAUUUCAGACGUAGCUUGUCCAAAACUGGGCUUUUGACGUUGCCUCGAGACCUGUUACAUCUGCAGUUCUCCUGACCCUCGUUGUUAACAGCAUUUUCCUUUCUGCUGCCAGGCCAAAACCUUGGCUUUGUCUUUGUUUCCUCACUGUCUUUUACAGCUCCCAGUCAUCUGGUCAGGAGUUGUAUUUUAUGUCAUUUCUUUAUGUCCACUUUGCUUUAUGUUUACUCUGACCACCCUGGGCCAUGGCCACCAUUACAUUGCAGGAUUGUUUCAAUAGCCUCCAGCUGGCCUCCCUGUUUUCCACUCCUGGUCCCCUGCCCUCUGUCUUUUUGCAGUAGUCAGGGUGAACCUUUGGAAAUAUAAGUUAGAGCAUGUUACUACUCUGUUCCAAAGCCAGGUGUUGUGGCACAGCAGGCUAAGUCAAUGCUUCCCACAUCCCUGCUACUCUGCUUCUGAUCCAGCUCCCCUGCUAAAGCACCUGGGAAAGUAGCAGAAGAUGACCCAAGUACUUGUGUCCCUGCCACUCACAUGGCAGACCUGGAUGGAGUCCCAGGCUCCUUGCUUUAUCCUGGCCUAGCACUGGGUGUUGUAGGCAUUUGGGGAGUGAACGAGUGGAUGGAAGAUCUUGCUCUGCAUUUCAAAUCAAUAUAUAAAUCAAACAAGAAGAAACAAGCCUCUAAUCAUUCUUUAUUCUAUUGACAGAAGUGCAAGUAAUUAGAACAGUUCAGGAGGCCAUGUGUGAUCUGUUAAUGACUUUUCUUGGCCCUCCUUUCCUGCUGCUCUUUUUACUCUAACCUGACUUGAGCCACACUGGCCUUCCUGCUGUCCUUGACUCUCUCAGGAACAUUUCUGCCUUUCCAUGGAGCAGUUGUGUCUUGAAUGCCUUCUCUCAGAGAUCUGUAUGGCUCAACCCCAUCACCUUCUUCAUGAUUUUUCCAAACGGAGCUUCUAAGUGAGGGCUUCCCCAUCUGUCUCGUUUACAGUUGCAGCCCAUCCCCAUUCUCACCUGGCACUCCUGAUCGCCUUCACCCUGCUACACCCCAUCGCACCGCUGACACACUAUGUGAAUAUAAUUAGAUGGAUUGGUCCCCCUCCCCCCACCAUGCACGCUCUGCAAGGGCAGGCAUCUUGAACUUGUUCAGUUCAUUGAUGGAUCACAAAGGCUGUGCCCAGCACGUGGUUAGCCAUUUAAUACGUAUUUUCUGAGUGAAUGAUGGAUUCUCUUUCACAUGGCAGUGAUAGGGUCAAAUAAAAGUACCUUUAAGAGGAGAAAACUGAGGGUAGUAUCCCCACCCGCUCCUGACCAAGGUCCUGUUUUUAUUUUAGGGAUGAUAGUGAGAGUGACGGUUACCAUUUAGGGAGCAUGGACAUUGUACUAAGUGCUGUCAUCUCAAUGCUGUGAAGCAAUUAUUCUCUUUGAGCCCAGCUGAUUCUUCGCUGAAGCCACCCUCCUCCACCCUGGCUGCUUCUCACCUGUGCUGCGUACAGCUGUUCAUCCUCUUGGGGAGAUUUCAGGCUUUUCAUGAGUUCCUGCCAAUCCAAGGAGCCGGUGGAAAGGAAGAAAAGAAAACAAGUGUAGAGCUUCAAACUGAAGGCAGCUUAUCCAGUCCUAGUCCCCUUCCUCCUCCACCUCCACUUUCAGGCGGGUGCUGACGGCGGAAGGACAGUGUGAGCCCAAGGUCUGUCUCCCUCACUGGACUGCAGGCUGCCUACAGGUAAAGACUGCGGCUCAUUCCCCUCUCUGUUCUGCUCCCUCUCCGUGCCUGGCGUCUGAUAGGCGGCUCACUGUGGCAGGAAGACAUGGGCCAUUAUGGUCCAGACUCAACGUGAGCUGACACCAUGUGCUUUGGUGUGUCGUGCUGAGAAGGCUGACAUCACUUAUGAGGCACUCUCAACAAAGACAGCUAAUCCCAGGCUGAUGAUGAGCCAUAGCAGGCAAAUGUAAGACCGUUCUACCAAAAUCUGGGCUCCUGAAAAAUGGGAGUGUAAAGUGUUCAAAAGAUGCAAAAAGACAUGACUGCGAAAUUCAGUGUGUGCACCUAAUUGGAUCCUUAAUUUUAAAAAGAUAGCUAUAAAGGAGACACUAUGGGGACAGUGGGGAGAAUUUGUGGAGUACAUGUUAGAAAAUAAUAUUGUGUCGUUGUUAA